UAUAUCCUAUAUAUGUUCUCUAUCUGCUUGGAUGUUUCUCUGUUGUAGAAAUUCAGAGUUUUAUUAGAAAUCAACCCAGAAACUACAGACUGACGUUCAUAAAACGAGAAUCUGAAACUCACCGAUCGAUGGAAGCAACAAGCUCCAAGAAUCAGCGAGCACAAGAGAAAUUGAAAAUGAAAAAUGUUCACAAGAUUUUUGAUAAUCAAAAGUGUAAAAGUAUUUGUCUUCUUAUAGCCUCCAGCUUCCUCGUUCCUUCCUUGUAACAAACUAUUUUGAUCUUCCAAUCAUAAGCCACCAUCUUGAUCCAAUUAGAAAGCUCCACGUUACUGAGAUGACUACUCAUUUUACCACAGCCACGUCACCUUCUCCCAACUCUCAAUUUACUAUAUCAUUCUCUGAAUCGACUGAUUCGAAAUCGGGGUCAACCCAACUUUGAGGGGAAGAUUAAUCUAGCUCGGUUCGA
This 466-nucleotide long non-coding RNA is filed under the name Arabidopsis lyrata. RNAcentral's name for it is "long non-coding RNA (ALYR_LNC001643)". Lineage: Eukaryota; Viridiplantae; Streptophyta; Magnoliopsida; Brassicales; Brassicaceae. The record is from RNAcentral.